CAUCAGCCUUUUACAGGGGGGCUGUUGUCUGGAACUCACGGAAGGUCAAGAAAGCGCACCGAAGCUCCCCAUCAUCCUUACCACGGGCACUCCCACACCCUACACUUCCAUCCUUUCUCCGAAAAAAGAGGAGACAGGCCUCUGAGCAGCCCCGAGGGAGGGGGUGAAGGCGAACACCCCACAAAGCGCACCGAGGGCAGUUAUCUGCAGACACGGCUUGGGGGUGCACACGCACAAAGACCCCCACAACGCAAACAAAAGCGAGCCCGUCGCGAUUCCCCGACCCGCCGAGUCCGGCGCAGCCCCGGGAGGCCUUUCCCGGCACUGCCCCGGAGGGCGCAGGGAGCCGGGGGCAGGGGGAGAGCGGAGAAACUGCCCCUUUUACCACCCGGGCGCUGCCCCGGAGCUCACGGGGGUGGCGAGGAAGCCCUCGGGGCUGUGCCGGGGGACAAGGCGACGCAGGGUCCCCGGUGCCCCGCCGGACGGCGAGGCCAUCCAGGCAGCGGGGGUGGCACCGCCCGCAGCCGNCUCAGCACGGGGGGCGCGGAGGACCCGCCGCCGCCUCCCAGCCGAAAUUCGACCGGGGAAGGUCUGGACCGUCUCUUGUUGUAGGGGGAAAAUGUGGUGCUUAUCCAGCCUUGAUACAUGGAAAUUCCUCCUAUCAUGAAGUCCAACUUGGAGAAAUGACAGAUAAUGGUUUUGAAAGCAGACACUCACCUUGAGCAAAAGAAACUAAAGCAUAGAUAAUCAGCAGUCUGUCUCAGGGUUGUCAAUACCUUCUGAGCUGCAGAUCACAGAACCAUAGAGAUUUUAGAACCAUUUAGAUUGGAAAAGACCUUUAUGAUUAUUGAGUCCAACUGUUAGCCAUACUUGCACUGCAGGGUAGGGAAAUGCAUAUUAAUACAAAAUAUGUAACUUUAUAGGAACAUAUACAUAUAUAUUUAAAUAGCAAAAACAUGUACAUUUAUAUUUUUUAUGGAGAUAAAAAUAUGGAAAUAUAUUCUAAAGUUUCUGAAAUUCUUCAGGAAUUAUUAAAUUAAUAAGUACCACACUACACAAUUAACUUGACUAGAAUUUUACUUUUAUUAAAAUAUACUUUUAUUAAAAUAUAUUGCAAGCUUAUUUAUAUAAACAUUUAUGCAUGCAAUAAAAUUCAGUCAUAUGAGUAGUAAUUAAUAUUA
This 1181-nucleotide long non-coding RNA is filed under the name Cyanistes caeruleus (blue tit). RNAcentral describes it as "lncRNA (ENSCCEG00000014196.1)". Lineage: Eukaryota; Metazoa; Chordata; Aves; Passeriformes; Paridae. The record is from RNAcentral.